RNAcentral lists this small RNA (98 nucleotides) under Pedobacter sp. Leaf194. RNAcentral's name for it is "Flavo-1 RNA". It matches the Rfam family "Flavo-1 RNA". The record is from Rfam by way of RNAcentral. Lineage: Bacteria; Pseudomonadati; Bacteroidota; Sphingobacteriia; Sphingobacteriales; Sphingobacteriaceae.
UUUUAAACCUGAUAGUAGUGGAAAUACUUUUUGGUGCAGAUCUCUCCGAAUUCGUGUUGACGAUAGCAAAAAGAUUGCAACGAAUAGCAGGGCUAAGC